This is a long non-coding RNA of Micropterus salmoides (largemouth bass), 202 nucleotides long. RefSeq lists it as uncharacterized. The record is from RefSeq and is a predicted model, not a curated record. Lineage: Eukaryota; Metazoa; Chordata; Actinopteri; Centrarchiformes; Centrarchidae. The transcript is spliced from 2 exons.
UACAGAUCGUUCUGCUCUGGACUACAUAAUGUUGGUUAUGCGUGUGGCUGAACUCCUCCUAAUUACUGUGAUUACUGUUCUUCUCAUCAGAGCUCGAGGAGCAAGACGAUGAAGGUGACGGUGCCUUUGGAGCCCCUGUUCCCUCUGUGAGACUCCACUGAUCAACAACUUCCACGUCAACAUCAACUCAAAAAAGAGAGAA